GAUUAUGCUCAAAGGAGGAUAUACAGAAUUUGUCCAUGCGGAGGUUGCAUAUGUACAGGUUGGCCUCGCGGAUCACAGAAUGCGUUAAUUGAUGUAUUUUACAAAAGAAAAGCAUCAGGUAAAGGACAAUUGAGGUGUUAAGAGGUUUUGUUUUUCCCAUCCAUGCCUCGAGGCCCUGAAACCUACAGAAAUUUCAGCCAAAAUGUCAAAUGGCUGUAAAAUGCAUCCCUCUCUCUUUCUCAACUUAAAGGUAUCAAUGGAACUCUCUCUCUCUAUCUCUCUAAGGUAUCAAUGAAACUCUCUCUCUCUGAACUCAAAGGUAUCAAUGAAUCUCUCUCUCACUCUCUCUGAACUCAAAGGCAUCAAUGAAACUCUCUCCCUCUCUCUUGACUUUAUAGAGACACUGGGAUAUGUGAUGAAACUCUCUCCCUCUCUUUUGACUUUGUAGAGACACUGGGAUAUGUGAUGAAACUCUCUCCCUCUCUCUUGCCUUUGUAGAGACACUGGGAUAUGUGAUGUGGAAGAUGUGAUGCGGAAGGAAGAAUGCUGAACCCAAAGAUAAGUGUAAAUUUCAUUCCUCAAGCUAGCAAGACCCUGCAUUUAUGAAAUGGAACUGAAAAAUAAUGUAAGAACACAUAUCAAAACGUGUUACAUGAACCACAGGAAAGGUUCCUUCCAAAUACUGCUACAACCCACCCAAGCCAUAUAUUAUCUGGGGGCAACUCAGAGAGAGAGAGAACCAGAUGUCAAUGGGUUAUGACAGAGGAGAGGAGGGUGGGGGCUAUGAGCAUGAGAGAACGGUGGAUAAAGACUUUCUUUUUUUUUUUUGGAGGGGGGUAGGAGGGGAG
RNAcentral lists this long non-coding RNA (848 nucleotides) under Amborella trichopoda. RNAcentral's name for it is "long non-coding RNA (ATRI_LNC000348)". The record is from RNAcentral. Lineage: Eukaryota; Viridiplantae; Streptophyta; Magnoliopsida; Amborellales; Amborellaceae.